RNAcentral lists this ribosomal RNA (435 nucleotides) under uncultured bacterium. Its description in RNAcentral is "partial 16S ribosomal RNA". It matches the Rfam family "Bacterial small subunit ribosomal RNA", at positions 29 to 507 of the family's 1533-position model. The record is from RNAcentral.
AACGAACGCUGGCGGCAUGCCUAACACAUGCAAGUCGAACGAUUGCCUUCGGGUGAUAGUGGCGCACGGGUGCGUAACGCGUGGGAAUCUGCCCUUAGGUUCGGAAUAACAGCUGGAAACGGCUGCUAAUACCGGAUGAUAUCGCGAGAUCAAAGAUUUAUCGCCUGAGGAUGAGCCCGCGUUGGAUUAGGUAGUUGGUGGGGUAAAGGCCUACCAAGCCGACGAUCCAUAGCUGGUCUGAGAGGAUGAUCAGCCACACUGGGACUGAGACACGGCCCAGACUCCUACGGGAGGCAGCAGUGGGGAAUAUUGGACAAUGGGCGCAAGCCUGAUCCAGCAAUGCCGCGUGAGUGAUGAAGGCCCUAGGGUUGUAAAGCUCUUUUACCCGGGAAGGUAAUGACUGUACCGGGAGAAUAAGCCCCGGCUAACUCCGUG